Molecule: long non-coding RNA, 299 nt
Filed under: Panax ginseng (ginseng)
Lineage: Eukaryota; Viridiplantae; Streptophyta; Magnoliopsida; Apiales; Araliaceae
Description: long non-coding RNA (PGIN_LNC006897)
Source: RNAcentral
CCGUCUUAGUUAACACUAUCUGCCAUCAAGAGGUUAACACUAGUGCCAUAUAUGAAAGAAAAAAUCAAUAAAGAAAUGUUUAUAAUAGGAAACAAUACUUAAGCUUACACAAGAGUUUCAACCAUGGUUUAUCCUCCAGGUAUUCUGCCAAUAUUAAAAUAGCAUCAGCCACUACACCAAUAAAGAGGUUAAUUAAGAAAUUUAAAGAUAUAAUUAAAGAAUUUACAAAACUUUGAAAAUCUCUUGUCCCUCUCACAAUUAAGUCAUGGGGAUGCAUUUUAUAAGGUCAUCAACAGCAC